Acanthosepion pharaonis is the source of this 109-nucleotide non-coding RNA. The record is from the annotation of a GenBank genome assembly. NCBI's taxonomy places the organism in Eukaryota, Metazoa, Mollusca, Cephalopoda, Sepiida, Sepiidae.
GCCAUAUCACAUUGAAACAUCGGUUCCCUUACGAUGACCGAGGUUAAGCAUUAUCGUACUUGGCCAGUACCCAGAUGGGUGAUCGCUUGGGAAUACCAGGUGCUGUAAG